This 433-nucleotide ribosomal RNA is filed under the name uncultured bacterium. Its description in RNAcentral is "partial 16S ribosomal RNA". It matches the Rfam family "Bacterial small subunit ribosomal RNA", at positions 29 to 507 of the family's 1533-position model. The record is from RNAcentral.
AACGAACGCUGGCGGCAUGCCUAACACAUGCAAGUCGAACGAGACCUUCGGGUCUAGUGGCGCACGGGUGCGUAACGCGUGGGAACCUGCCCUUAGGUUCGGAAUAACUCCCCGAAAGGGGUGCUAAUACCGGAUAAUGUCUUCGGACCAAAGAUUUAUCGCCUUUGGAUGGGCCGGCGUUGGAUUAGAUAGUUGGUAGGGUAAAAGCCUACCAAGGCGACGAUCCAUAGAUGGUCUGAGAGGAUGAUCAGCCACACCGGGACUGAGACACGGCCCAGACUCCUACGGGAGGGAGCAGUGGGUGACAGUGGACCGUGGGCGAAGUCAUGAUCCAGUUAUGCCGGGAAAGUUAUGUUGUCAGGAAGGAUCUAAAGCGUAAGUACCUAUGAAGAUAUUGACGGUACCGGGUGAAUAAGCCCCGGCUAACUCCGUG